AGAACGAACGCUGGCGGCAUGCCUAACACAUGCAAGUCGAACGAGACCCCAACUUCGGUUGGACGUCUAGUGGCGCACGGGUGCGUAACGCGUGGGAAUCUGCCCUUCGGUUCGGAAUAACUCGGAGAAAUCCGUGCUAAUACCGGAUAGUGACGUAAGUCCAAAGAUUUAUCGCCGAGGGAUGAGCCCGCGUAGGAUUAGCUUGUUGGUGAGGUAAAGGCUCACCAAGGCGACGAUCCUUAGCUGGUCUGAGAGGAUGAUCAGCCACACUGGGACUGAGACACGGCCCAGACUCCUACGGGAGGCAGCAGUGGGGAAUAUUGGACAAUGGGCAAAGCCUGAUCCAGCAAUGCCGCGUGAGUGAUGAAGGCCUUAGGGUGUAAAGCUCUUUACCCGGGAUGAUAAUGACAGUACCGGAGAAUAAGCUCGGCUAACUCCGUGCCAGCAGCCGC
This 452-nucleotide ribosomal RNA is filed under the name uncultured soil bacterium. Its description in RNAcentral is "bacterial SSU rRNA". It matches the Rfam family "Bacterial small subunit ribosomal RNA", at positions 26 to 518 of the family's 1533-position model. The record is from RNAcentral.